GACGAACCGUGCAAACGUUGUUCGGAAUCACUGGGCUUAAAGGGCGCGUAGGCGGGCGACCAAGUCAGGGGUGAAAUCCUCCGGCUCAACCGGAGAACAGCCUUUGAUACUGGUCACCUCGAGGGAGGUAGGGGCAUGUGGAACUUCCGGUGGAGCGGUGAAAUGCGUAGAUAUCGGAAGGAACGCCGGUGGCGAAAGCGACGUGCUGGACCUCUUCUGACGCUGAGGCGCGAAAGCUAGGGGAGCAAACGGG
RNAcentral lists this ribosomal RNA (253 nucleotides) under uncultured bacterium. Its description in RNAcentral is "partial 16S ribosomal RNA". It matches the Rfam family "Bacterial small subunit ribosomal RNA", at positions 524 to 776 of the family's 1533-position model. The record is from RNAcentral.